CCUCUCACUAGAGCUCUGCCAAAGCUGACACAACACACAUUGCACCCACACACGGUAGGUUCUACUUUCACGUCUUUACAUCACGUAGGGCCAGUGUGUAGGUUAGUUCUAGCUUUUCUUUUAGGUUAUGUUGAGGUCCGAGGUCAGCUAUCAACAUACCCUAGACAAAGUAGCUUUAGUUUAGGUCAUGUUGAGGUCCGAAAACUCUUUGCUCAUGUUAGAUUUUUGAUGAUGCUAAUUAUGUAUAUAUUUGAUAAUAAGUGUGUAUAUAUUGUGUAGAUAUCUUUGAGGAGUUGGUCUAUUUAAUUGUCUAUUAAUUAUAUUUAACUGUUUAUGGGAAUAUUGGAUAUUGGCAUUUCCCUAGUGUGUGUGUGUGUGUGUGUGUGUGUGUGUGUGUGUUUCUAGCAGGCCAGUAUGGAAGUGUGGUGUGUGUGUGUGUUUCUAGCAGGCUAGUAUGGUUCUGCUCCUUUCCAGCAGAGGGUUGAGGGGAGAGAGGGGGUGCGGGCGGUCGAAUCCCAGUAGCUGUUGUGUGGACGACUCCCAGUCGCGGCCGAACUCCAGCCGGCUGCACACGCACGGGUACUGCCUGUCUGCCCAGCGUACCCAGUCCACCGCCCGCUUCAGGGCCUCCCACUCGGAAGAGCUGCGGUCAACACACAAAAAUAACAAGCACAGAAACGCACACAGAAAACGUUGGCAAAGAAGUUCAGAUCCACACCCAGGAGCAAUCCCACUUCCUCUGUGCAUUCCCAGUAACCCCCUGUAUACUGUCUGUUCUAUGACUAGCAGAAGAAGUCUGAAGAGCAGAUAUCUUACUGGGCUCUGAAGACAUGCCAACUGUUCCCAUGAUGCACUGGGUUUGAUCUCAAUAUGUGAUCUCACAUCGUGCAAAGAAUAAUCGAUGACAGCAUACCUUCUCAGCAAGCAGCGUUUCUGGACUCCGGGAUACCGGGACCAGGGGGAUGGGAGAAGACACAGGCGCAGGAGAAGACAAAGGGGCACGGCCAAACAUUUGAACUGAGCCUUGACGAGUAGGAGAAGGAACAGAGACAGGGGGAUGGGAGAAGACAUAGGGGUUGGGGCAAAGGUUGGAGUCCCAGACACAGUGAAGCCAGCUGAGCCUUGAACAGCAGUGGUGAAGGCCCCAGGAGAGCGGGAGGAGCAGGACCGGAGCUCAUGCUCUAGUACGAGAGCGUCGAGAGGAAGAGAGACAGGUGAGACCAUCUAAGACAGGAGGAGGAGGAGGAGGACGGGGACAACUUUCAAUUUCGUUCAAGUUCUGGAAAAAAACAAUGCAGAUUUAAAUUUCUAGAAGGACUGUUUUGUAUACUGACUACUCAAUGAACUGAAAAAAUCAUACGGAAUAUGGGCAGCAGAUCAUUUGUACAACAGUUUACAGUAUUAUCCCCUGGAUGCUAACUCUAAACACACUGAUACAGUUUACAGUAUUAUCCCCUGGAUGCUAACUCUAAACACACUGAUACAGUUUACAGUAUUAUCCCCUGGAUCCUAACUCUAAACACACUGAUACAGUUUACAGUAUUAACCCCUGGAUGCUAACUCUAAACACACUCAUACAGUUUGACUUCAGGUAAAGUAGGCUACUUGUAAAUUAGACUGAAUGGAUUUUAAUUGAAUGUUAUAGAUAAUCUGAGUUUUAGGCUGAUCUAGACAUUCUGUAAUCUAGACAAAUUUGAUUCUUGUAACCAAUUAUACUGGACACAAUGUUGAUUAACUUAUUAAACACUUACUGCUUGUCACCUGAGGAAAUGCCAAACUGAAAUGCACACCUAAAAAUC
This is a long non-coding RNA of Alosa sapidissima (American shad), 1799 nucleotides long. RefSeq lists it as uncharacterized. The record is from RefSeq and is a predicted model, not a curated record. Lineage: Eukaryota; Metazoa; Chordata; Actinopteri; Clupeiformes; Clupeidae. The transcript is spliced from 6 exons.